AGUGAACGCUGGCGGUAGGCCUAACACAUGCAAGUCGAACGGAAGCGCAGUAAGAGCUUGCUCUUACGGGGGGCGAGUGGCGGACGGGUGAGGAAUACAUCGGACUCUACUUUUUCGUGGGGGAUCACGUAGGGGAACUUACGCUAAUACAGCAUCCGCCCUACGGGUGAAAGCAGGGGAACUUCGGACCUUGCGCGGAUGAAUGCGCCGCUGUCGGAUUAGCUGGUUGGCGGGGUGAUGACCUACCAAGGCGAGGAUCCGUAGCUGGACUGAGAGACUGGUCGGCCACACGGGAACGGAGACACGGUCCAUACUCCUGCGGGAGGCAGCAGUGGGGUAUAUUGGACAAUGGGCGCAAGCCUGGUCCAGCCAGACCGCGUGUGUGAAGAAGGCCUUCGGGUUGUAAAGCCCGUUUGUGGGUUAAGAAAAGCAGCAGGUUAUUACCCCGCUGUUCUGACGGUACCCAAAGAAUAAGCACCGGCUAACUUCGUG
RNAcentral lists this ribosomal RNA (492 nucleotides) under uncultured bacterium. RNAcentral's name for it is "partial 16S ribosomal RNA". It matches the Rfam family "Bacterial small subunit ribosomal RNA", at positions 29 to 507 of the family's 1533-position model. The record is from RNAcentral.